RNAcentral lists this non-coding RNA (28 nucleotides) under Bombyx mori (domestic silkworm). The record is from RNAcentral. Lineage: Eukaryota; Metazoa; Arthropoda; Insecta; Lepidoptera; Bombycidae.
UUACUUAGAAUGUGAUCGGCUUGACAGU